CUAAGCAUGAAGCCCCCCUCAAGAUGAGAUUUCCCAUAGCGCAAGCUAGUAAGAUCCCUGAAAGAUGAUCAGGUUGAUAGGUCAGAGGUGGAAGCACGGCGACGUGUGUAGCUGACUGAUACUAAUCGAUCGAGGACUUAACCAAAA
This 147-nucleotide ribosomal RNA is filed under the name Priestia megaterium. RNAcentral describes it as "Bacillus megaterium partial 23S ribosomal RNA". It matches the Rfam family "Bacterial large subunit ribosomal RNA", at positions 2781 to 2925 of the family's 2925-position model. Lineage: Bacteria; Bacillati; Bacillota; Bacilli; Caryophanales; Bacillaceae. The record is from RNAcentral.